GAAUCUGCCCUUAGGAAAAGAAUAACUUCUGGAAACGGUUGCUAAAUCUUUAUAUGUCGAGAGAUGAAAUAGCUUAGGCUGCCUAAGGAUGAGCUCACGCCUGAUUAGCUUGUUGGUGAGGUAAUGGCUCACCAAGGCCACGAUCAGUAGCUGGUUUGAGAGAACGACCAGCCUCACUGGGACUGAGACACGGCCCAGACUCCUCCGGGAGGCGGCAGUGAGGAAUUUUCCGCAAUGGGCGAAAGCCUGACGGAGCAAUACCGCGUGAGGGACGAAGGAUUUUGGUCUGUAAACCUCUUUUCUCAAGAAAGAAGUUCUGACGGUACUUGAGGAAUAAGCAUCGGCUAACUCCGUGCCAGCAGCCGCGGUAAUACGGGGGAUGCAAGCGUUAUCCGGAAUGAUUGGGCGUAAAGCGCCUGUAGGUUGUUUAUUAAGUCCGUUGUUAAAGCCUAGGGCUUAACCCUAGAAAAGCAAUGGAAACUAGUAGACUAGAGUAUGGCAGGGGUAGAGGGAAUUUCUAGUGUAGCGGUGAAAUGCGUAGAUAUUAGAAAGAACACCGGUGGCGAAAGCGCUCUACUGGACCAUUACUGACACUCAGAGGCGAAAGCUAGGGUAGCA
This 618-nucleotide ribosomal RNA is filed under the name uncultured Synechococcus sp. RNAcentral's name for it is "bacterial SSU rRNA". It matches the Rfam family "Bacterial small subunit ribosomal RNA", at positions 122 to 770 of the family's 1533-position model. The record is from RNAcentral. Lineage: Bacteria; Bacillati; Cyanobacteriota; Cyanophyceae; Synechococcales; Synechococcaceae.